This 588-nucleotide ribosomal RNA is filed under the name uncultured bacterium. Its description in RNAcentral is "bacterial SSU rRNA". It matches the Rfam family "Bacterial small subunit ribosomal RNA", at positions 338 to 916 of the family's 1533-position model. The record is from RNAcentral.
CCUACGGGAGGCAGCAGUAGGGAAUCUUCCGCAAUGGACGAAAGUCUGACGGAGCAACGCCGCGUGAGCGAUGAAGGCCUUCGGGUCGUAAAGCUCUGUUGUUAGGGAAGAACAAGUGCUAGUUGAAUAAGCUGGCACCUUGACGGUACCUAACCAGAAAGCCACGGCUAACUACGUGCCAGCAGCCGCGGUAAUACGUAGGUGGCAAGCGUUGUCCGGAAUUAUUGGGCGUAAAGCGCGCGCAGGCGGUUUCUUAAGUCUGAUGUGAAAGCCCCCGGCUCAACCGGGGAGGGUCAUUGGAAACUGGGAAACUUGAGUGCAGAAGAGGAAAGUGGAAUUCCAAGUGUAGCGGUGAAAUGCGUAGAGAUUUGGAGGAACACCAGUGGCGAAGGCGACUUUCUGGUCUGUAACUGACGCUGAGGCGCGAAAGCGUGGGGAGCAAACAGGAUUAGAUACCCUGGUAGUCCACGCCGUAAACGAUGAGUGCUAAGUGUUAGGGGGUUUCCGCCCCUUAGUGCUGCAGCUAACGCAUUAAGCACUCCGCCUGGGGAGUACGGCCGCAAGGCUGAAACUCAAAGGAAUUGACGG